RNAcentral lists this ribosomal RNA (256 nucleotides) under uncultured bacterium. Its description in RNAcentral is "partial 16S ribosomal RNA". It matches the Rfam family "Bacterial small subunit ribosomal RNA", at positions 521 to 776 of the family's 1533-position model. The record is from RNAcentral.
UAAGACGGAGGGGGCUAGCGUUGUCCGGAAUUACUGGGCGUAAAGCGCUCGUAGGCGGUCGUCUACGGCGGUGGUGAAAGCUCCCGGCUCAACUGGGAGAGGCCCGCCGCAACGGGACGACUCGAGGGUGGUAGAGGCAAAUGGAAUUCCUGGUGUAGCGGUGAAAUGCGUAGAGAUCAGGAGGAACACCCGUGGCGAAGGCGGUUUGCUGGGCCACACCUGACGCUGAGGAGCGAAAGCCAGGGGAGUGAACGGG